RNAcentral lists this ribosomal RNA (301 nucleotides) under uncultured bacterium. RNAcentral's name for it is "partial 16S ribosomal RNA". It matches the Rfam family "Bacterial small subunit ribosomal RNA", at positions 509 to 807 of the family's 1533-position model. The record is from RNAcentral.
CAGUAGCCGCGGUAAUACGUAGGUGGCAAGCGUUGCUCGGAAUGACUGGGCGUAAAGGGCGCGUAGGCGGCGGCCAAAGUCAGGCGUGAAAUUCCCGGGCUCAACCUGGGGGCUGCGUUUGAUACUUGGUUGCUAGAGUGGGGAAGAGGGUCGUGGAAUUCCCAGUGUAGAGGUGAAAUUCGUAGAUAUUGGGAAGAACACCAGUGGCGAAGGCGGCUCACUGGACCGACACUGGCGCUGAGGCGCGAAAGCGUGGGGAGCAAACAGGAUUAGAUACCCGCGUAGUCCCUGUCUCUUAUAC